UAAACUUAAUAGAUGAGUACGGUGACUUCAUCAACUCCGACAGCUGCGACAACAAGAGAAUAACUAAUGGUUGGGUGGUAGAAAAUCUGAUUGGAUGAAUGGUCUAUUUAUACAGACCACUGAUGGCACGAAUUUAGCCAUCGAAUUGCCAGAUCUUACCACUUUACCUACUUUCGGAUCGAAAGACCUCGUGACUCUUCAUUGCAUCCUUGUCAAAUCAAACUGUGUAAG
This 231-nucleotide long non-coding RNA is filed under the name Elaeis guineensis (African oil palm). RNAcentral describes it as "long non-coding RNA (EGUI_LNC066090)". The record is from RNAcentral. Lineage: Eukaryota; Viridiplantae; Streptophyta; Magnoliopsida; Arecales; Arecaceae.